ACUCCUACGGGAGGCAGCAGUGGGGAAUAUUGCACAAUGGGGGAAACCCUGAUGCAGCCAUGCCGCGUGUGUGAAGAAGGCCUUCGGGUUGUAAAGCACUUUCAGUAGGGAGGAAGGUAGUGUAGUUAACACCUGCAUUAUUUGACGUUACCUACAGAAGAAGCACCGGCUAACUCCGUGCCAGCAGCCGCGGUAAUACGGAGGGUGCGAGCGUUAAUCGGAAUUACUGGGCGUAAAGCGCAUGCAGGCGGCCUGUUAAGUCAGAUGUGAAAGCCCGGGGCUUAACCUCGGAAUUGGCAUUUGAAACUGGCAGGCUAGAGUCUUGUAGAGGGGGGUAGAAUUUCAGGUGUAGCGGUGAAAUGCGUAGAGAUCUGAAGGAAUACCAGUGGCGAAGGCGGCCCCCUGGACAAAGACUGACGCUCAGAUGCGAAAGCUGGGGAGCAAACAGGAUUAGAUACCCUGGUAGCACAGAG
This 473-nucleotide ribosomal RNA is filed under the name uncultured bacterium. Its description in RNAcentral is "bacterial SSU rRNA". It matches the Rfam family "Bacterial small subunit ribosomal RNA", at positions 335 to 799 of the family's 1533-position model. The record is from RNAcentral.